UUACCACAAGGCAGCUUUGCUAACAGAGCUGUGAAGUCUGGUUACUGCUCAAGUCCUGCUGCCUGCUCAUGUUUCUUAGCCAUUAGCCACACCAGGAGAUAUUUUAGGAUAAAAGAACUCAUUUGAGAUUACUGGAGAAAGAAAAACUUCUAUGCACCAGGAGUCUACAAAGCAAAUGAUGCAGAAUAGAGAUAGUCCAUUUCCAGUGAUUUUAUGAGAAACAUGUCUUUUUCCUCCUGUGUUCUGUAGCUCAUUCUCACUCUGUUGGACUGAUUCCCAAGGAGUGGCCUUUCUGCACUGUUGUUACAGCUCUGAAAGCAGUCGUCAUUCAAGCUGACAAUACUCCAGAUAUUAAAAAAGCCAGAAAACCUGAUCUGAUCAUUUUCCAUCUAGACGGAAACUGGGGACAGCCUGAGGCAUUUGAUAACACCCAGGCCCCUCUG
RNAcentral lists this long non-coding RNA (443 nucleotides) under Cyanistes caeruleus (blue tit). Its description in RNAcentral is "lncRNA (ENSCCEG00000018191.1)". The record is from RNAcentral. Lineage: Eukaryota; Metazoa; Chordata; Aves; Passeriformes; Paridae.